This 1479-nucleotide ribosomal RNA is filed under the name Dunaliella tertiolecta. Its description in RNAcentral is "partial Bacterial large subunit ribosomal RNA". It matches the Rfam family "Bacterial large subunit ribosomal RNA", at positions 926 to 2405 of the family's 2925-position model. Lineage: Eukaryota; Viridiplantae; Chlorophyta; Chlorophyceae; Chlamydomonadales; Dunaliellaceae. The record is from RNAcentral.
CCUUAUCGGGUUACCGAAUUCAGACAAACUCCGAAUGCCAAAUAAUUUAACUUGGGAGUCAGACUAUGGGUGAUAAGGUCCGUAGUCGAAAGGGAAACAGCCCAGACCACCAGCUAAGGUCCCAAAAUAUAUGUUAAGUGGAAAAGGAUGUGGCGUUGCCCAGACAACUAGGAUGUUGGCUUAGAAGCAGCCAUCAUUUAAAGAGUGCGUAAUAGCUCACUAGUCGAGUGACACUGCGCCGAAAAUGUACCGGGGCUAAACAUAUUACCGAAGCUGUGGAUUGUCCGUAAGGACAAUGGUAGGAGAGCGUUCUAAGGGCGUUGAAGCAUGAUCGCAAGGACAUGUGGAGCGCUUAGAAGUGAGAAUGCCGGUGUGAGUAGCGAAAGAUGGGUGAGAAUCCCAUCCACCGAUUGACUAAGGUUUCCAGAGGAAGGCUCGUCCGCUCUGGGUUAGUCGGGUCCUAAGCUGAGGCCGAUAGGCGUAGGCGAUGGAUAACAGGUUGAUAUUCCUGUACCACCAUUAUUCGUUUUAAGCGAUGGGGGGACGCAGUAGGAUAGGCGAAGCGUGCUGUUGGAGUGCACGUCCAAGCAAUAAGACUGAGUGUUAGGCAAAUCCGGCACUCUUAAGAUUGAACUGUGAUGGGGAGAGGAAAUUGUUUCCUCGAGUCGUUGAUUUCACACUGCCAAGAAAAGCCUCUAGUUAGAAAAUAGGUGCCCGUACCGCAAACCGACACAGGUAGUCAAGAUGAGAAUUCUAAGGUGAGCGAGCGAACUCUCGUUAAGGAACUCGGCAAAAUGACCCCGUAACUUCGGGAGAAGGGGUGCUCUUUAGGGUUAACGCCCAGGAGAGCCGCAGUGAAUAGGCCCAAGCGACUGUUUAUCAAAAACACAGGUCUCUGCUAAACCGUAAGGUGAUGUAUAGGGGCUGACGCCUGCCCGGUGCUGGAAGGUUAAGAGGAGUGGUUAGCUUCUGCGAAGCUACGAAUCGAAGCCCCAGUAAACGGCGGCCGUAACUAUAACGGUCCUAAGGUAGCGAAAUUCCUUGUCGGGUAAGUUCCGACCCGCACGAAAGGCGUAACGAUUUGGGCACUGUCUCAACGAGAGACUCGGUGAAAUCAUAGUACCUGUGAAGAUGCAGGUUACCCGCGACAGGACGGAAAGACCCCGUGGAGCUUUACUGUAGUCUGAUAUUGAAAUUCGGCACAGCUUGUACAGGAUAGGUAGGAGCCUGAGAUACGUGAGCGCUAGCUUACGUGGAGGCGCUGGUGGGAUACUACCCUGGCUGUGUUGACUUUCUAACCCGCACCAUUUGAUCAUGGUGGGAGACAGUGUCAGGCGGGCAGUUUGACUGGGGCGGUCGCCUCCUAAAGAGUAACGGAGGCGCUCAAAGGUUUCCUCAGAAUGGUUGGAAAUCAUUCGCAGAGUGUAAAGGCACAAGGGAGCUUGACUGCGAGACCUACAAGUCGAGCAGGGUCGAAAG